This is a small nucleolar RNA of Suricata suricatta (meerkat), 80 nucleotides long. The record is from Ensembl. Lineage: Eukaryota; Metazoa; Chordata; Mammalia; Carnivora; Herpestidae.
GUGUCUUGAUGAAAUCAGCUAAAUUCCACUAUCAGAAGACCUUCCAGUCUACCUAAUGCAUGAUCUCUGUGGUUUUGAGA